GCCUGGCUGGCUCAGUUGGUAGAGCGUGCACGCUCUUGAUCUUGGGGGUUGUAAGUUCGAGUCCUACGUUGGGUA
RNAcentral lists this transfer RNA (75 nucleotides) under Mustela putorius furo (domestic ferret). It matches the Rfam family "tRNA". Rfam says of the family: Transfer RNA (tRNA) molecules are approximately 80 nucleotides in length. Their secondary structure includes four short double-helical elements and three loops (D, anti-codon, and T loops). The record is from Rfam by way of RNAcentral. Lineage: Eukaryota; Metazoa; Chordata; Mammalia; Carnivora; Mustelidae.